CCUCCACUGAAAAUCUGCAACCAAGACCAUCAACCAACACUAGUACCACCUUCGACAUCAUCGUCGAUGAAUACAAUGCUUUUCGAUUUGAACACAUACAACAUGUUAAACCCCCAUUUCAAAAUGGUUCAAAUACAUACAACACACCCAAACUAAACUGGUUUGAUUUUCUUGGAUUUUCUAAAAAAAUUUAUUGAAACUGAGGUCUGUCUUCAACAGCUCUAUCAACCCCUUUAAACCAUUUUCACUCAAAUCAAGAGACAAGAACCUUCAGUUUGAUCAAAUUCUUGAAAAUAUUUGCAGAAACUUCACCUUCAAAAGUUGUUCAAGGGUCACCGCUCCGACCACCACUCCACCUUCUCCAACAAAUUAAUCCUAGAAGCAUUCACCCUUAAAAAUUCGUCGUGCAAGUUGUGGAUUUUUGGUAAGGAAAAAAAAUUGGGAAUUAGGAAAUGGGAUUUCGAAUUUGGGAUUAAACAUACGAAAUUGGGGGUGUUGAAGGAAUGGAUUCGCGAAAUUUCGGCACGAUGGAGAUUGUCGAUUUGAUGUAGUGGCGGCAACUGCGAUACCGAUGAAUUGUGAGUCAUAGCAGGUGGCCCUGCCGGCGGUGGGAGGUGGUUUUUUCAGGUUUAAUUUUGAUUGUGGGUUGGGAUUAGGGUUGGUGGUGUUGGGAAAGUUUCG
Molecule: long non-coding RNA, 681 nt
Filed under: Olea europaea subsp. europaea
Lineage: Eukaryota; Viridiplantae; Streptophyta; Magnoliopsida; Lamiales; Oleaceae
Source: RNAcentral